CGGAAUCACUGGGCGUAAAGAGCGUGUAGGCGGGGUUAGUUUAAGUCAGAAGUGAAAUACCUAUGGCUCAACCAUAGAACUGCUUUUGUAAACUGGUAACCUAGAGUAUGGGAGAGGUAGAUGGAAGUUUCUGGUGUAGGGUAAAAGUACCGUAGAGAUCAGAAGGAAUACCGAUUGCGAAGGCGAUCUACUGGAACAUUACUGACGCUGAGACGCGAAAGCGUGGGGAGCAAACAGGAUUAGAUACCCCUGGUAG
Molecule: ribosomal RNA, 256 nt
Filed under: uncultured bacterium
Lineage: Bacteria
Description: partial 16S ribosomal RNA
Rfam family: Bacterial small subunit ribosomal RNA
Source: RNAcentral